This 324-nucleotide ribosomal RNA is filed under the name Campylobacter jejuni. RNAcentral's name for it is "bacterial SSU rRNA". It matches the Rfam family "Bacterial small subunit ribosomal RNA", at positions 277 to 617 of the family's 1533-position model. The record is from RNAcentral. Lineage: Bacteria; Pseudomonadati; Campylobacterota; Epsilonproteobacteria; Campylobacterales; Campylobacteraceae.
UGACGCUUAACUGGUCUGAGAGGAUGAUCAGUCACACUGGAACUGAGACACGGUCCAGACUCCUACGGGAGGCAGCAGUAGGGAAUAUUGCGCAAUGGGGGAAACCCUGACGCAGCAACGCCGCGUGGAGGAUGACACUUUUCGGAGCGUAAACUCCUUUUCUUAGGGAAGAAUUCUGACGGUACCUAAGGAAUAAGCACCGGCUAACUCCGUGCCAGCAGCCGCGGUAAUACGGAGGGUGCAAGCGUUACUCGGAAUCACUGGGCGUAAAGGGCGCGUAGGCGGAUUAUCAAGUCUCUUGUGAAAUCUAAUGGCUUAACCAUU